Leopardus geoffroyi (Geoffroy's cat) is the source of this 832-nucleotide long non-coding RNA. RefSeq lists it as uncharacterized. The record is from RefSeq and is a predicted model, not a curated record. The transcript has 3 exons. NCBI's taxonomy places the organism in Eukaryota, Metazoa, Chordata, Mammalia, Carnivora, Felidae.
GUUCCCCUGAAACCUCCAUGACUCUGAAGCUUACUGACCCAAGGCAAAGGAGAAUAGUCACCCGGGCUUUUGGCGCAGCACUUUUUGGUCAUCGCCAACCAAAUUUUAUGUUGCCACUUGCCCGGGAAUAGAAUCAACAUCGUCUCCAUCUCCCUGACACCACAAAAUCACGAAGAAGAAAGGUCUACAACAGUACUUCUGUGUUGUAUUAAGUACCAAUCAAAGAUUUCUUGAGGGAAUGUACCAGAACUGAUUAAAAUCUGCCAGCAUUUUCACCCAAAUGUGCCUUGAAGUCAAGUAAUAUGAAUGACCCACGGAUUCCUUUAUUUUUGUUUUGGAUCAUUUUAUUUUCCUUAUGACCACAGGAGAAAUCUACAAGAACUUCCUCCUGGAGAACUUUAAUAACAAGAACUGAUUCAUCUUUUAUGAGAGAAGCUGUCAACAUGGCAGAAAGCCAGACGUGAAAAACCAGACCCCGGGACAUUACAGCAGUUUCCUACAACGGCCAUAACAAACUACCACACACUGGGUGGCUUAAAACAAUGGCAAUUUGUUCUUUCGUAGUUCUGGAGGCUAGAAGUCACAAAUCGAGGUAUUGACCGACCGCGGCCAUGAACCUUCCAAAUGCUUUCGGGGGCAAUCUCUUCCAUGCCAUUGUCUUAGCUUCAUUGGUUGCCAGCAGUCCUGGUAUUUGUGUCCCUGCUCCAUCACCACGUGGCAUUUUUCCUGCAAGUCUGGCAUCGUCUUCCCUCUGUGCAUGUUUGCCUCUGUAUAUCUUCACCUUUUCUUAUGGAACAACAGUAGUAUUGGAUAAAGGGUCCAUCCUACCACA